GGUUGACCGAAUAUUUCAACGACAUUACCACUUUAUCAAGAAAACUUGCCCUGUCAUGAUACCUUAUAAAUCUAGUUUGAACCAUGAUGAACACAAAGCAUACCUGAGGGCCUUUGUCAAGUUCAAAAUUCGCUCCCCAGUGACUCCUGCUGAGGCAAUUGAAUAUGAGAAUUAUUUGAGGCUUCAGAAUCGGGUCUAUGAAGAGCAACAGUGUUUUAUGAGGUUUGCAUAUCAGGUGGCAAGAUUACAGUUGAAAUCAUAUAUGAUGUUCCUGAUGUCAUUAAUAGCUAUAUUAAUGACUAUGUGAAAGAUCAUUGUAAACAUGUUUCAAGCUACAAAAGUUUAUAUACACAAGAGCAGUCAAUUCCGUUAUGUCCUUUGGAUCCAAGUAAUAAAUACAGUGAUCUUUAUUUCAACCAUGUUGGUCAUCUGCUUAGUAUAGUAAGU
Macrobrachium nipponense is the source of this 447-nucleotide long non-coding RNA. RefSeq lists it as uncharacterized. The record is from RefSeq and is a predicted model, not a curated record. The transcript has 3 exons. Lineage: Eukaryota; Metazoa; Arthropoda; Malacostraca; Decapoda; Palaemonidae.